AACGAACGCUGGCGGCAGGCCUAACACAUGCAAGUCGAGCGCCCCGCAAGGGGAGCGGCGGACGGGUGAGUAACGCGUGGGAACGUGCCUCUUGCUACGGAAUAGCCUCGGGAAACUGGGAGUAAUACCGUAUGUGCCCUACGGGGGAAAGAUUUAUCGGCAAGAGAUCGGCCCGCGUUGGAUUAGGUAGUUGGUGGGGUAAUGGCCUACCAAGCCGACGAUCCAUAGCUGGUUUGAGAGGAUGAUCAGCCACACUGGGACUGAGACACGGCCCAGACUCCUACGGGAGGCAGCAGUGGGGAAUCUUAGACAAUGGGCGCAAGCCUGAUCUAGCCAUGCCGCGUGAGCGAUGAAGGCCUUAGGGUUGUAAAGCUCUUUCAGUGGGGAGGAUAAUGACUGUACCCACAGAAGAAGCCCCGGCUAACUCCGUG
This 431-nucleotide ribosomal RNA is filed under the name uncultured bacterium. RNAcentral's name for it is "bacterial SSU rRNA". It matches the Rfam family "Bacterial small subunit ribosomal RNA", at positions 29 to 507 of the family's 1533-position model. The record is from RNAcentral.